Molecule: long non-coding RNA, 976 nt
Filed under: Triticum aestivum (bread wheat)
Lineage: Eukaryota; Viridiplantae; Streptophyta; Magnoliopsida; Poales; Poaceae
Description: long non-coding RNA (TAES_LNC028311)
Source: RNAcentral
UUGCUCUUAGUGUACACUCUAUUGAAUUAGAAAGCCUUAGUGGCAAGCAUUACGUGAGAUAAAAAAUGGUAGUCUGAGUACAAGUGUGAAUCCUUUCAAGGGACGAGAUACUCCUGUUGUUUCAUGUUGUUGUGGUAAAUGACAAUGUGUUGAUAAUCCGACAGCUAUGCAUUUAUUCUGCGUGGUAGAUACGUUGCCUCAUUUUCAGGUUCCAUCAUUUCCAAUCCGAGCAACUUUGCCUCCCUUGCAGCUAUAUUUUGCUUUUGCCACUCUUAAGUGCUUAACUUGAACCGAGUCAACAAAUGAGAGGGAAAACAAAUUGCUUCAUGGUAAAAGGAAUCUCAAGAUUUUCCGCUGCACAUAAAAAAAUUAUUUUCAUGUACUAGGAAAUUGAUUGUGCAUUGCAACGGGGCGUAAAUACUUUAGUAAAUUAAUAGGAUUGCAUCAAAGAUAGACUUCAACCAUAGACCGAAGUAAAAAAAAGCCUAUCCCUCGGUGGAGCUUGUGCGGGUGCAGUAGGACGACUACCAAAAAACGCGAGCCAUCAGCUCCGCAUCCACCGGAAUAGUGAAGGGCGAUCCCUUGGAGUGGAAUUCACAUACAGUUGCCCGUAACAUCUACCAUUUGAGACUAGCAGGUGGAACUCGGAUCCGUCAACGGUGUUACAGCGGCAAAUAGCAGGCGGAGGAGAAGCCAUGGAUGUCAUGUGCAGAUCCCUUAUAGCCUUGCGGAUCAUGCUAUUACAGCAAUUUGGUUGGUUCUCUUGUAGCCCUAGCUUGUUGCGCCGUCGUAUUCUCUCAAUGCAAUUUAGCUAAUGCUACUACAGUACGGUAAAGGGAAUAAAGAAAAAACACGCAGUGAAGGAAAAUACCUCCAUAUCAAAGCCGAUACUGAUCUUGUUGGUUAACAGGACGUCGAUAGGUAGAAUUUUCUCUAGCCAUGGCCACAGCGCAUGCAUUCAUCGAGGGGGUUCACU